GUAGUUGGAUGACGUGUGUACGUCCUUGUGAAGUGCGAGAGAAACAAUUGGGAAUCCAUCUGUUUUUUUUCAACAAAAAUGUCAAAGAUGUCCUAAGCCCCUUCACAUACCAUGUCUAGUGCCUAGUCACAUGUUAUCAACAGAAGAAAAAGAAAAAAAAAUAACUACAACCGACUCUACUCAACACCUAGGAGUAUUGGAGUAUAAUUUACCACUCAAAGUCGUAUCCGAUUUCAAUGUUUUUCAUUCAAGGAUGAAAAAACCGAGUUUUGCUAAAUUUCAGCGAAAUUUCACUGGUUUUAGAACUCAAUGUAACCUAGGUCAUCAAGAUUUAGCUCAAUAGCAACUAUAAGAGACUCUUUUUAUCCUUCCUAAUUGACACAGAAAUUUUGGUGUCCUCCAAUAACUUUGUUAAUUAGAUCUCCAAAUAUAGACCUCCUCUAUUUUAGAUUUCUCGGUAGACAAAGAUG
Molecule: long non-coding RNA, 470 nt
Filed under: Sorghum bicolor (sorghum)
Lineage: Eukaryota; Viridiplantae; Streptophyta; Magnoliopsida; Poales; Poaceae
Description: long non-coding RNA (SBIC_LNC018274)
Source: RNAcentral